GAGUCUUUUGCAGGACAAUGGACAUAUGCAACAUAUGCACAAUCCAGCCUUCAUAGAGACUGAGUAAGGUCGCCAUGUCCUUGAAGGACACGAAAGGAGAAGAACACGCUCAGAAGCAGACACUUCAGGAUGCAAAGGCAGACAAGAAAACCGCAGCGAGACGCAUGAAGAGGGAAAACUAACUAAAAUUAACUGAAAUAUUAAAAUGCGUGCGUAAAAAGGAUUUAACCAAUCAUGUAUCAGCUUGAGGCGUGAACAAUAGAGAAUAGUAUAAAAAUGGCUUGCUUUUUGUAAUAAAUUGGCUUCACUUGAUCAUACUGAUCAUGGCGCGAUGUCCCCUUACUGAUCCUCCGCACAUUUUGGUGCCCGAACGAGGGACCCGGAGACGGCUAUUUCACUGUGGUGAGAGGUACAGUGACAGCCUUCGGGAGGUGGAGAAGCCGGUCGAAAGUAUCCUCACUGCCCCGGCAAGAAGAAAAGGUGAAUAAAGGAGCUCCAAAUUGAAGAAGAAGUGAUCUCGCCCUGAUCAGCUGCUAGGUACCUCAUCCCGGGCAGACGAGCGCCGAUCACUGGACAGGACGCAACAACAGGCCUUGGAACAUAUAGCCUCAAAGGUUGCCACAGCACAUGCACAUCACCUGAUGGCAGGUGUCCCCGUUCAACUGAUGAUCAUCAAACGCAGCAAGGAGGGUGACCAGUAUGCCAAACAUCCUUUUGCAUUAAUUUGUCAAUGGACGGAGACUCGGGCUAAUCCUUUAACCAUUCUGGAGUGGGUAUUUUUACCUGUGCGACAGCCUAGAACCAUUACCACUCACCUAGAACUAUUUGCUCAAUUAAUCGUGAAAGGCAGAGGGAGGAUACUAGAAAUUUGGGGACAGGAACCGUACGCAAUUGCAGUACCUCUAGCCAAUGGGUAUUUAGAAUGAGGAAUUAGGCAUUCUGUUCCUUUACAAACAGCCCUUACUGAUUACGGUGGAAAAGUUCACAAUACCUAUCUGUGGCAUCGUGUGUUGUCCUUGUUAGAGCAGCAGCGGCUGGAGGACAGACCAUGGAGAUACGAGUCUCCAGUACUAGGACUAACAAUUUUUACAGACGCAGGCAAACGGUCUAAAAGGGCUGCUUGUACGUGGCAGCAAAAGGGUUCAUGGAAUCAGUAUAUAAUUCCUGGGGAGAUAGGAGAUACAUUGCAAACCUUGGAGUUGAAGGCAGUAAUUUGGGCCUUUGAGAAUUGGAACCAUCAGGUUGUUAACAUUGUUUCUGAUUCACUUCAGGUGGUUGGCUGUGUACAACGCCUCAAAAGGGCAGUAGUUAAGGAAGUUAAUAACAAACAUUUGUAUUCACUUUUAAGCCGACUACUGAGAAAUCUGAACCGACGCCAACAGGAGUAUUUCAUUACUCACGUUCGCAGUCAUCAAAAUCUCCCUGGUCUGUCUGAAGGUAAUGCUCAAGCUGAUCGGUUGGUAGCUGCUGUCUGGCCAAUGCCAACCUCUGAUAAAUUUCAACAAGCAAAAAAUUCUCAUGCUUUUUUACAUCAAUCUGCAAAGAUGUUGGCUAAACAAUUUGGUAUCCCUCUUACUGAUGCCACUGGCAUUGUAUGAUCCUCUCCAGAUUGUCAAAGGGAUGGCAUUGGCUUAGGCACUGGUGUUAACCCAAGAGGUACCCAACCUUUGCAAUUAUGGCAAAUGGAUGUAACACACGAAGCAGAAUUUGGCCAGAAGAAGUUUGUACAUGUUUGCAUUGAUACUCUUGUGUUAUAUGGGCUACCCCUUCAACAGGUGAGACAGCACGUCACGUUGAGAAACAUUUGAACAAUUGCUUUGCAGUGUUGGGAGUCCCUUUAGCCAUCAAGAUGGAUAAUGGCCCUGCUUAUUGAUCUUUAAAGUUUCAAUGUUUCUGUAAUUUAUGCGGUAUUCAACAUGAUACCGGUAUUCCACACAACUCUACAGGUCAGGGAAUUAUUGAGCGAGCCCAUCAGCCGUUCGAGGGCAUGCUGCAAAAAUAAAAAGGGGGAAUGGUAGGGGUAUCCCCGGAAGAAUAGACAGCUAAGGCUAUCUUUGUGCUUAAUUAUCUCAGAACAACAGGAGAUAGGGAUGAACCUCUUCCCAUUCUUGUGCAUCAUGCCCUCAUGCAUAGGCCAAGUGAGGAAUUACCUGACAGUAUUCAAGUCAUGUUUAAAAGCCCGGAAACCGGGAUGUGGGAAGGGCCAGCAGCAAUGAAAUUAAUGGGAAGAGGUUACAUGCGCUUACUUACAGAUAAAGGAAUUCGCUGGUUCCGGCCAAGUAGGUGAAACCUCACCUAAAGUCACACCUGCCAGCUCUGUCCAGAAGCAGAACGUCGGCGACAGCACCAACUCCAGACGCAGCUGAACCUGAUGCUCCAGCACCUGAGGGUUGAACAAUGGCUGAACUUUUUUUCCACAGCUAUUAACAGAUGUGGGCCAACUAGCUGGAUCUGGGGUUACAGUAACCAGUAACGACAGCCUACCACCAUUUCCAAUACGGGUCUUAAAUCAAAUUGAAUGAGCUUCUUCUGUUCAUGGCUAUUUUUGCAAACCAUGGAUCAGGGUCCAGUGUGUUAAGUGCAAACUGAAGUGAAGGCGAUAAGUCCGUCAGGAAAAAAAAUCUUUUUAUACCUCACAGGAAAAAGCAAAAA
Haemorhous mexicanus (house finch) is the source of this 2652-nucleotide long non-coding RNA. RefSeq lists it as uncharacterized. The transcript is spliced from 2 exons. The record is from RefSeq and is a predicted model, not a curated record. NCBI's taxonomy places the organism in Eukaryota, Metazoa, Chordata, Aves, Passeriformes, Fringillidae.